UACGUAGGGUGCGAGCGUUGUCCGGAAUUAUUGGGCGUAAAGAGCUCGUAGGCGGUUUGUCGCGUCUGCUGUGAAAACUGGAGGCUCAACCUCCAGCCUGCAGUGGGUACGGGCAGACUAGAGUGCGGUAGGGGAGAUUGGAAUUCCUGGUGUAGCGGUGGAAUGCGCAGAUAUCAGGAGGAACACCGAUGGCGAAGGCAGAUCUCUGGGCCGUAACUGACGCUGAGGAGCGAAAGCAUGGGGAGCGAACAGG
This 253-nucleotide ribosomal RNA is filed under the name uncultured bacterium. RNAcentral's name for it is "partial 16S ribosomal RNA". It matches the Rfam family "Bacterial small subunit ribosomal RNA", at positions 524 to 776 of the family's 1533-position model. The record is from RNAcentral.